This 317-nucleotide long non-coding RNA is filed under the name Elaeis guineensis (African oil palm). RNAcentral describes it as "long non-coding RNA (EGUI_LNC077980)". Lineage: Eukaryota; Viridiplantae; Streptophyta; Magnoliopsida; Arecales; Arecaceae. The record is from RNAcentral.
UCCGAAUAUAUCCUUAAAAUUUUAGAUAAAAUUAUGAUAAGAUCUAACAUUUUAUUAAAGAUAUAAUAGAUAUUUUAUAUAAUUUUUUAUAUUUAAUUAAGUAUAUAUUUUUUUUACAAUAUAUCAUUUUUUUAUGAUCAACCAAAUAUCCAAAUAUCAUUUUUUCAAGUAUCAUAUAUAUGCCUAUGCAACAGCUUCUCCGGAAAAACUUUCCAAUGGGGAAAAAAUUCUUUUGUGAAUCGAAUGAGUCCACUGUGCUUUUGCAAAUAGGAGGAGAGUUGAAAUCAAGCGGGGGACUGCACAAAAUGAAUGAGAGU